GUGAAUCAUCGAAUCUUUGAACGCAUAUUGCACUCUCUGGUAUUCCGGAGAGUAUGCCUGUUUGAGGGUAAUUAAAAAGAUUUUUAACCAAUUUUUUUUGGUUAAAGGAAAUGAGGUUUUCGCGUUUAUAGCGGUUGCUUGAAAUAAAUGGUUAAGUCUUAUUUUAGUCGAGACGCGUAAUAAUAUUAUUUUGCGAAAUU
Molecule: unclassified non-coding RNA, 200 nt
Filed under: Ambisporaceae sp.
Lineage: Eukaryota; Fungi; Glomeromycota; Glomeromycetes; Archaeosporales; Ambisporaceae
Description: partial contains 5.8S ribosomal RNA and internal transcribed spacer 2
Rfam family: 5.8S ribosomal RNA (bases 1-71)
Source: RNAcentral